CCGGCCGGACUUCCGCGUGCGUCACUUCCGCCGCACAGGCCCGCCCACCCCGGAUGUCCGGCUCUGCGCCGCCAUCUGUGAGUGGCAGGCGAGGUGUCCGGCGGCUCUUCGCUGGGUCCACAGGCUGACGCUCUAUCCACCGAGCCAAACCAGCCAGGGCUCACAAUUGGUCUUGUCAGUGCGCAGUGUCCUAGUGCCCAUCGUCUGUUGCCCCCACCGGCCCUGUGCCAGGGACAUCUGGGCCCACUCAUCACCCUCCAGGUCUGCUGACCAGUGAGGAUGUCUGCCUUUGGCCACACCCACCCAUCUACCUGCCCCAGAUGCUCUGUGUCUAAGGACGAAUUGGAGUUGUCAUUUCCACUGGAUGUUUACGAUAAAGAUCGGACCUGUUUACACGUCUGUGGAGCAGCUCUUCCGUCUCCCAACUAUACAGUAAACUUUAGUGUCACCCUGUGGGGUUCCCGUG
Molecule: long non-coding RNA, 466 nt
Organism: Myotis lucifugus (little brown bat)
Lineage: Eukaryota; Metazoa; Chordata; Mammalia; Chiroptera; Vespertilionidae
Exons: 2
Source: RefSeq, a predicted model, not a curated record